This 196-nucleotide unclassified non-coding RNA is filed under the name uncultured Polyporales. RNAcentral's name for it is "sequence contains ITS2". The record is from RNAcentral. Lineage: Eukaryota; Fungi; Basidiomycota; Agaricomycetes; Polyporales.
UAAUUCUCAACCCAUACAUCCUUGUGGUGGAUGGGCUUGGAUUUGGAGGUUAUUGCUGGCUCCUAGCAGUCGGCUCCUCUUGAAUGCAUUAGCUUGAUUCCGUGCGGAUCGGCUCUCGGUGUGAUAAUUGUCUACGCCGUGACCGUGAAGCGUUUGGCGAGCUUCUAGUCGUCCUUCAAGGACAAUCUUACCUGAC